GAUGAACGCUGGCGGCGUGCCUAAUACAUGCAGGUCGAGCGAACAGAUGAGGAGCUUGCUCCUCUGACGUUAGCGGCGGACGGGUGAGUAACACGUGGAUAACCUACCUAUAAGACUGGGAUAACUUCGGGAAACCGGAGCUAAUACCGGAUAAUAUAUUGAACUGCAUGGUUCAAUAGUGAAAGACGGUUUUGCUGUCACUUAUAGAUGGAUCCGCGCCGCAUUAGCUAGUUGGUAAGGUAACGGCUUACCAAGGCAACGAUGCGUAGCCGACCUGAGAGGGUGAUCGGCCACACUGGAACUGAGACACGGUCCAGACUCCUACGGGAGGCAGCAGUAGGGAAUCUUCCGCAAUGGGCGAAAGCCUGACGGAGCAACGCCGCGUGAGUGAUGAAGGUCUUCGGAUCGUAAAACUCUGUUAUUAGGGAAGAACAAAUGUGUAAGUAACUAUGCACGUCUUGACGGUACCUAAUCAGAAAGCCACGGCUAACUACGUG
Molecule: ribosomal RNA, 497 nt
Filed under: uncultured bacterium
Lineage: Bacteria
Description: partial 16S ribosomal RNA
Rfam family: Bacterial small subunit ribosomal RNA
Source: RNAcentral